UGCGAUAGCUCAGUUGGUAGAGCAUGAGACUUUUAACCCCAGGGCCGUGGGUUCAAGCCCCACAUUGGGCAA
Non-coding RNA from Podarcis lilfordi (Lilford's wall lizard), 72 nucleotides. The record is from the annotation of a GenBank genome assembly. NCBI's taxonomy places the organism in Eukaryota, Metazoa, Chordata, Lepidosauria, Squamata, Lacertidae.